UGGAGUUUUGUUGUGUUCAUUAUAGUGCAAACAGACAAUAUAGUCUGAACAUGGCGGACACUUGUCAGUUAUACACUGUUUAGCCUUGCGUCCACAUCGCUCGGCUUGGAAGUAUCCUCAUCAUUCUUAGCAUGUUGGUGUUUGACACCGGAACGUUGUCUUCUUCCUGUUGUUUUAGGAUGAAGAAAAUAUUAACCACGUUCUUUAACUGGUUGAUUAACUAUUAUAUGCCGACCAUCUGAGCAUUGUAUACAGUUGCUCGCCACGUGCUCGUCCUGGACUGGCGGGGAUUCCCAGUCACCAGAGCAGGGGCUAUUGAGGUAGCCAAUCAGGUGUUGGGGAACAAUGCAAGUUACCAGACACCUUUCUGAACGUCACUAUUCCGAGCUUCCGGCUGUUCUUUCACGAGGAUCAGCCACUUCAUCUAAUGGGUUUCUCCCCUCUAUGAAGGGAAACAAGAGGUUUGUGUUUUUCUCCUCAAAGGUCACUUGAGGAUGGCUCCUUCCCCUUGGGAAAAGGGGGGGGGGGGGCAAGUUGAUGGGACUGGACAAUGUGUACCAAGUCCUAAGGAUUAAUGCUUUUUCAGUGUUUGGUCAUCAGGCACUCAGUGUUAUCUAACAGUUAUACUGGUAGGACAUUAGGUCACGAGAACUGACCUUCUUAGACUAUAACUGAUACUUCAGUUGAUACCUGUGCUGUCCAGAUACAGCUUUGGAGUCUGCAUAUUGUACUCUCCCUGAACAAGGUCGAGUCAGUGAGGUAUAAUUGGGGGUUAUGCUAAGAUGUACUUACCAUCUACAGUAUAAUCUGAAUUAUACCUCAUACGAGACCUUGUUCAGGUAUAUCUUCCCACCCUCAGUAACUUAUGUUCAGCUGCAGGGAUUUAGUGAACAUUACCCACCCAUGGACAGCACAGACUUAUUUA
This is a long non-coding RNA of Branchiostoma floridae (Florida lancelet), 925 nucleotides long. RefSeq lists it as uncharacterized. The record is from RefSeq and is a predicted model, not a curated record. Lineage: Eukaryota; Metazoa; Chordata; Leptocardii; Amphioxiformes; Branchiostomatidae. The transcript has 3 exons.